UACGGAGGGAGCUAGCGUUGUUCGGAAUUACUGGGCGUAAAGCGCACGUAGGCGGCGACUCAAGUCAGAGGUGAAAGCCCGGGGCUCAACCCCGGAACUGCCUUUGAAACUAGGUUGCUAGAAUCUUGGAGAGGUCAGUGGAAUUCCGAGUGUAGAGGUGAAAUGCGUAGAUAUUCGGAAGAACACCAGUGGCGAAGGCGACUGACUGGACAAGUAUUGACGCUGAGGUGCGAAAGCGUGGGGAGCAAACAGG
Molecule: ribosomal RNA, 253 nt
Filed under: uncultured bacterium
Lineage: Bacteria
Description: partial 16S ribosomal RNA
Rfam family: Bacterial small subunit ribosomal RNA
Source: RNAcentral